This 494-nucleotide ribosomal RNA is filed under the name Colletotrichum gloeosporioides. Its description in RNAcentral is "eukaryotic LSU rRNA". The stretch from base 178 to 331 matches the Rfam family "5.8S ribosomal RNA". The record is from RNAcentral. Lineage: Eukaryota; Fungi; Ascomycota; Sordariomycetes; Glomerellales; Glomerellaceae.
CAUUACUGAGUUUACGCUCUACAACCCUUUGUGAACAUACCUAUAACUGUUGCUUCGGCGGGUAGGGUCUCCGUGACCCUCCCGGCCUCCCGCCCCCGGGCGGGUCGGCGCCCGCCGGAGGAUAACCAAACUCUGAUUUAACGACGUUUCUUCUGAGUGGUACAAGCAAAUAAUCAAAACUUUUAACAACGGAUCUCUUGGUUCUGGCAUCGAUGAAGAACGCAGCGAAAUGCGAUAAGUAAUGUGAAUUGCAGAAUUCAGUGAAUCAUCGAAUCUUUGAACGCACAUUGCGCCCGCCAGCAUUCUGGCGGGCAUGCCUGUUCGAGCGUCAUUUCAACCCUCAAGCUCUGCUUGGUGUUGGGGCCCUACAGCUGAUGUAGGCCCUCAAAGGUAGUGGCGGACCCUCCCGGAGCCUCCUUUGCGUAGUAACUUUACGUCUCGCACUGGGAUCCGGAGGGACUCUUGCCGUAAAACCCCCAAUUUCCAAAGGUGAC